GACGAACGCUGGCGGCGUGCUUAACACAUGCAAGUCGAACGGAAAGGCCCUGCUUGCGGGGUACUCGAGUGGCGAACGGGUGAGUAACACGUGGGUGAUCUGCCCUGCACUUCGGGAUAAGCUUGGGAAACUGGGUCUAAUACCGGAUAGGAGCCAUCUUUAGUGUGGUGGUUGGAAAGUUUUUUCGGUGUAGGAUGAGCUCGCGGCCUAUCAGCUUGUUGGUGGGGUAAUGGCCUACCAAGGCGGCGACGGGUAGCCGGCCUGAGAGGGUGUACGGCCACAUUGGGACUGAGGUACGGCCCAGACUCCUACGGGAGGCAGCAGUGGGGAAUAUUGCACAAUGGGCGCAAGCCUGAUGCAGCGACGCCGCGUGGGGGAUGAAGGCCUUCGGGUUGUAAACUCCUUUCGCUAGGGACGAAGCUUUUUGUGACGGUACCUAGAUAAGAAGCACCGGCUAACUACGUG
RNAcentral lists this ribosomal RNA (465 nucleotides) under uncultured bacterium. Its description in RNAcentral is "partial 16S ribosomal RNA". It matches the Rfam family "Bacterial small subunit ribosomal RNA", at positions 28 to 507 of the family's 1533-position model. The record is from RNAcentral.